UACGGAGGGUGCAAACGUUGUUCGGAAUCAUUGGGCGUAAAGCGCGCGUAGGCGGCCUGCCAGGUCGGGUGUGAAAGCCCGGGGCUCAACCCCGGAAUUGCGCUCGAAACCGGUAGGCUCGAGUCCCGGAGGGAGAGGUGGAAUUCCAGGUGUAGGGGUGAAAUCCGUAGAGAUCUGGAGGAACACCGGUGGCGAAGGCGACCUCUUGGCCGGGUACUGACGCUGAGGUGCGAAAGCGUGGGGAGCAAACAGG
Molecule: unclassified non-coding RNA, 253 nt
Filed under: uncultured Bradymonadales bacterium
Lineage: Bacteria; Deltaproteobacteria; Bradymonadales
Description: contains 16S-23S intergenic spacer region
Rfam family: Bacterial small subunit ribosomal RNA
Source: RNAcentral